GGGGAUCUAGGAUAGAAGACUGGCAGGAACGGAUGUAAUGGAGGGUCAUGUGAGGGCUUCAAGGGACAUAAUUAUAUAAGAACUUUGGAAUUGGAUGGCCAUUUCUUCUAGCUACUAAUGCAUUAAAGAAAAAUAGUGGAAGGCUGAGGUCAUUAAUCACCUAUGUAAGAUGAAGUGUGAAACCAGAGGCUCUCCUUUGCAGCAUACAAAGAGACUCUCAUUGCCUAUAGCUGGAGGGCAGAAAAGGCAGGUACUGGAGCAGGACUUAAUUAUUUUAGAAGUAGCAGAGUUCCAAAGAAAACGGGAUUCUCUGUCAUGUCUGAUCUGCUGUACAAAAGUCAGGGCAAAGAGUGGCAAGGAUUGGCAAGGAGUGGGCCCCUGAGAUUUGGAAUGAGGACCUCUGGAUCAAUGAACUCAAAAUCCUUUGGGUCAAUGCACUAAAAAUUCCUCUGAAUCCUUUGAGCCUACAGAAGUAGUUUAUUUCUCUCUGCUAAAGGAUAGCGCUCUCCCUGUCUUGAAGAUUCUUGGAGAUUCUCUCUUUAGGACAAUUCAUGCUCUUCAUAGGAUCUAUUCCCAUUUCUUCUCCUGGCUAAAAAGCCAAUGUCUAGAAUCAAGUCAACAAGUUUUCCCAAGUUGACUUUCCCAAGUUGACUUUCCCAAUUCUGGGAAACAGACUAUGGGAUUGCUGGAUCAAAGAUCAUUAAAUAAAGUUGGAUAACAGUUUAUCCGUAUGGGACCACUAUCCCAUGAUACAAGAUUUAACACCUGUUAGACAUCUUUAGAUCAUUAGAAAUGAUUCUUUUAAGCUGCUUGGUUGCCUCUUGGCAGCCUGAAGACUGAUGGUCCACUCUAUGUGAAGUGGAAAUGCUAGAACUAUCAUGGCAAAUGAUGGAGGAAGGGAUCAAAAGGCUAAGCAAAGUGGGGCAUAUUAGAGUGGAUAUUCUAUAUAAUGCCAGAAAAGAUGAAUGUACUUUAGAGUUAGCAGAACCUCUAUAUUGCUGUCAGGGAAUGGAUUUUACUUUUCUUACAAGCUAAUAAAUCAACCUGUUAUUGUUCCAUGGAUGCUGAUAGUAUAUGAGACUCCUGAGUCAGAAACAAAGGACUUUAUUAUAGCACAGUAAGCAAACAGCAUGAGCAGCAUAUUUAUCUCAGUUCCCCUUGCUUUUCAACUCCCAAGGGGGCAAUGUGGAAGGUCCAGAUGAAUACCUGUAUGCAGUGGGUUUUGUUACAGGAAAUCACUGAGUUUGGGGAAUCUACCAUUAAUAUAAUAAGCAGUAUGCAAACCUAUUCUUUGUCCUGGUGGGAGAUAUUAGCUCAUGUCUCAAAGUUCCUUGUUGCAAACAAAACUCUUGAGAAAUCUCCUGGAUAGACAGAAGUUGAGACCUUGGCAUAGGUCUUGGAAUACCCAACAAAAUUGUCAGGGAUAUUCAGAACUCAUGGCAGAUUCCCUUUCCCAACAAUUUGUUCUUUUUCCUGUUGGAUAAAUGCUAUUAUAGUGAGAAAGGUUGAGUAAAGCCUCUGAAACUGUUCCAUUCUGCCCAUCCAAGACAAUAAAUGAAAAAUAACAUUGCACCUAUGGGAUAAUGGCAGAGAUGAAAGCCAGUCUUAAAGACUUAAAUGCAAAAAAACAAAACAAAACAAAACAAAAAACAAAAA
This 1656-nucleotide long non-coding RNA is filed under the name Canis lupus familiaris (dog). Its description in RNAcentral is "lncRNA (ENSCAFG00000055872.1, ENSCAFG00805021260.1, ENSCAFG00845026537.1)". Lineage: Eukaryota; Metazoa; Chordata; Mammalia; Carnivora; Canidae. The record is from RNAcentral.